UUGGACCUCACAGCCACUACAAUGGAUGCAGAUUUCAGCCAAUGGAUUAUGAAGCACUACGACCCCGAGAGGUCCCAAAUUGUUAUACCAAAGAGGGGGAAGAUCCUGGUAGAUGCAGCGAGCGUGCAUAGAAUAUGGGGGUUGCCAAACAGGGGCAGAAAUGUCUGUUUUGAGAAUCGUCCUAACAUCAAAAGGCCAUUUAUAGCAUCUAAAACAGUACAUCCAAGAACUCACCAACCCUCACAUCAUGGUGUAAGAUGA
Molecule: ribosomal RNA, 261 nt
Filed under: Triticum aestivum (bread wheat)
Lineage: Eukaryota; Viridiplantae; Streptophyta; Magnoliopsida; Poales; Poaceae
Description: partial small subunit ribosomal RNA
Source: RNAcentral